AGGUAAUAAAAAGAGAAAAGAUGGCAAGGCUUUGAGAGCAGAUAGCUGUGCAAAAGGCCAAGGAAACAGAACUGAAUAAAACAAUUCACAUAACGGAGGAAAUGAUGCGGGCAAAACAAAUGUUAGCAACUGUCUCAUGAAAUCUCCCCUUACUGGGGUUAGUAUGGCUGAGAUCCUUGCCAACACAAAUCUAGAUCAAGAACAACGACAGUUGUUGGAUGUCAUUCUAUCUUCUGGAGAUUUGGUUUUACAACUUAUCAACGACAUUCUUGACCUCUCUAAGGUGGAGUCAGAUUGCUGAUGCUCUUUUACUACAAUGCAACAAUGACACGUGGCAUAUUGCAAAAGCUUGAGGUGGCAGCAAAAGUUUUUAAUCUCUGGUUUUAGAUGCUACAAUAGGUUUAAAAAAAGUGGUUUGCAUGCUAAUUUUAGAAGGGAACAUGAUAAGAAAGUUUGCUUGUUGGGAUUGACUUCACUUCUUGCACUUCCUGCGGACCAGUUACCCGGAGAAGCAUUGGAACGUGUGUUUAGAGUAACACUUGACCUGCUUGUUGCUUACAAGGAUAAGUUGCAGGAACUGCUCAUUUCAUUGGAUGCUUUUUCUUUUCUUUUUCCUCUUUCCUUUUCUUUCUACUAAUAAACUCAAAUUCGUAACUGAAAAUCAAUGUGCAUCAUGCUUUCCUUAUGAUCACUCUUUUUAGUUUUACCUUUUUAUUCCACUUAUUUUGGGUCUUCCAAGAGGCUCGAUAGUUCAUCCUAGCUCAACUACACAUGCUUUUGACUGAGAUUUAACAAGUAGGGAUAGCCCG
This is a long non-coding RNA of Magnolia sinica, 809 nucleotides long. RefSeq lists it as uncharacterized. The transcript is spliced from 4 exons. Lineage: Eukaryota; Viridiplantae; Streptophyta; Magnoliopsida; Magnoliales; Magnoliaceae. The record is from RefSeq and is a predicted model, not a curated record.